RNAcentral lists this non-coding RNA (161 nucleotides) under Indolivaga capnocytophagoides. The record is from RNAcentral. Lineage: Bacteria; Pseudomonadati; Bacteroidota; Bacteroidia; Bacteroidales; Dysgonomonadaceae.
AUAAAUUCUGCUGAAAAGGGAAUCAGGUGAAAGUCCUGAACAGACCCGCUGCUGUAAGCUCCGGUAAAGAUCCGAAACAUUACUUUAUUCCACUGUUUAUUGAUGUAAAACGGGAAGGAGGUUUUAGGAUGGAGCAAGUCAGAAGACCUGCCAUAAUAAAU